Drosophila yakuba is the source of this 9056-nucleotide long non-coding RNA. RefSeq lists it as uncharacterized. The transcript is spliced from 2 exons. The record is from RefSeq and is a predicted model, not a curated record. Lineage: Eukaryota; Metazoa; Arthropoda; Insecta; Diptera; Drosophilidae.
UGGAGCGGAAUAGUGUGGUUAACUAUUGGGUGUACAUAUUUUUAUAGAAUGUAGGGAACUAUCAGCCAGAGAAGUAUUUAAAUCACAGCCAACUUUUAACUCCGCCCGUAACUUUUCAAAGGUUAAUAACAUUUAUAUUGACGUAAAUCGCCAAACGGCAGACUCUGCAAAUCGGUUUUCAUGUAAUUGACAAUGCGUUAGAGGCAAAACACAUUUAAAAGCAAGAUUCAUGCAAUUAACAAUUCUCCCGUGUAUCAACACUUUGGAUCAGGAAAUUAUAGUGCCAGUUGAAGCGGUAAUGAGGGGCGUGACUUGGCCACUUGCACAAUGCGAGCUGCUAACUGGACAAAGACUGCACUUUGUACCCGCCGGGCGUAUUCCGGUUCCAGAUUCCAUCACAGUGGGCUCAGGCCAUUCCAAUUUUGAUCUGAUCGCGGGUUGAGAGAGUUCAAGCAAUACACCGCCGCGGUUAGUACAGGUUCCCGUCAACUGUCUUAUGAAUAUCAAUUGAUUGCUGACGGGACAUCGAACGAAAUCCAGCGAAAAUAUAUACACUCGCCGUCUCAAUUUUUUCAUUCUGAGUCAAUCUCAUUAAUAGGAUAAGUAUAAGGUUUGUAUUGAAAUAUGUUGAGUGCUUGUUUAGAAAUGUGGUAAAAAUAAGAAAACCUAAAAUUGGUUGGUAAUCAGAAAAAAAAUCCCUACAAUUAAGUUUCUUAAAUGGUAAUUUAAAUUAUCAUGAUUGGUAAGAGAAGCGAAUGGCUUUCGGUGCAAUGUUGCACAUUGCUAGAUGUAGGCAUUUGACGAAUGAGCACCGAUUACUUUUAACCCAUGAAGCACCAUUUAGUCCCAGCUAUGUGACAUGCAUCGAUUACAGAAACUACUUUCCAGAUACUUCCCAGCACUAACCAAAGCCAUAUGAACAAGUCAGUUACUGCAGUUUAGGUGGCUUUUUGAAUGUCAUGGGCAAUAAACUGGCCAUGGCUAUGGUGAUGGCGGUAACGAUGGCGAUGCCGAUGGACACGUAAGACUUGGGCAACUGGCUGGCGUUGACAAAAAUGUGCCGCUUUAUUGCCGAUGCCAUUGCCUCAGCCAGCGUGAAAUUCGCUGCUGUCGCAACCGGUGAGUUGGCGUUCGUAGUUCGCUGUGUGGGUCAGUGGCACGCUUUCCGCGUUGGCCUCGCCCGGAGGCAUAGCAUCCGCGAGGUGUGGCGGCGGCACCGGGCGUUUGACUUGCGAUUUCGCUGUUUAAUUUGCAUAAUAUAUAAAAACGCUUGGGACCACGCUUCUGCAGAGGGAUGGCCAUCAGCCACAACCACUUAGCUCGGAAGAGGAGACGGAUCCCACUUAUGUAAGCGGCACGACGGAGCACAGUGCAGAGAAGAAGAUGGAAGAUACGGGAACAAAAAAACGAGGCGGCAACUCGUACUGGAACUUGUGCACACGCUCUGCGGGCGUCAUCAGCGGGCCAUCAAAAGCCAUCUUACGGUCGCAGUAUGGACCCAGCCACGGUCCUGCUAUCAGAUUGGGUUCUUAAUCGCCAUCGAACCCCUCCGACAUGUCGUUUUGGGGGCUAGGUGCCUGCACGCUAUUGUUUACACGGUUGAGUUCUGCAGCAGGUUGCAUUUUUGAAAUCAAUUAGAGCGGCUACACCCGCAAGCCAAGGCACAUGCACUCCAGCCAGAGCAAUACCGAAUAGCAAAAACGGCGUAAAUAGUUUGAUAAGCUUGCUGAUUUUAUCGCACUCACCCCAGGGGCGGGUGAGUAUGUAGAUUACACGGCGGUGACCGGGUUUUUCGUGGCAAUUGCUCGCUUAGAAAACCUAAUUAAGUGGAAAAUCGAUGCCAGGGGACCAAGAGCUCCACGGCGGAAUCGCGGAUGACGCAUUUUUGGAUGAUAAGCGUGUGUCCAUGAUGAUCCAUAUAUUAAAGCCGACAAGUGAGUCACGGACUAUGAAUUUAAUUUUCAGCAAUAUGGGACCCAUUUUUUUUUAGAUAGGCUUCUUGUGAUAGCCAGCAAUCAGAGAAUUGAGUUGGCCAGCUGUCCUCUUAUCAGCGAACCCCAUUGGCCGCAUCCGAUGGGGCAUCGGCUAAUUGGAUUUGAUAAGCCGGCUAUCAACCUCUGUCUUUAAACCAGUGGAAGUCCCGUCACGUUUCGGGCGAUUAUACAAUGCGGUUUUGCCUUUGGGACAGUACUAGCUGUUUGGGUUUCUAAUUAGGAGGGGGUUUGUUAUCUAAUCACAGUCACUCGGCAAGGCCACGCACACACUCGGACACUCACUUGGUCAAUCAGCGCGGGUCCCGCCUUCUUGGCCCGUCGGAUCGGAAUUGAAGUCGAAUUUGUAGUCGGCUAAUCGGUCAUUUGGCAACUGAGGCGGACGAUCGGUUGUUCCGUUUACGCGAUGCUCCACCUCGCACGCUUUUAAGCCAACUGACGACUGGUCGGAUGUGCGUCUGAACCUUAUCAGGCAGCGGCGGCGAAAACCGUCAACAUCGAAACCUCAACCUCGGCGACCCGACGAAGUUGAAUUGAUCAAUGCGCUCACGAGUACAACGAUUAUACGGCUUAAGUGUGAAUCACGCCAAGUACCUACUGGGCGGUUAUGGUAUUUGGUAUCUGGUAUCGGGUAUUGGGUAUCGGGUAUCCACCAUUCACAGGGCUUUUCACAGGCAAAAGUAAAAAAGCGGCGCGAGAGUGGUCGAGAGCCCAGAGGCAGACACAAGCCGCUACGUGAACCGUUGUCCAGCGAGUCAGAAAUACAACUGACGCACCGCUCCACUCCGGCGAUCAAAGAUGGUCAGUCUUCGUACAUCGCAAAUUAUGUAUUUAUUCACAGCGGCGGUGGAGAAACUAGAGCCACGCUGCAUAGACUUCGACAGUAUUGCUCAAUAAAGUUAUUGCGAAAAUAGCUCUGAAGUCUUAAUCCCCUAACUAUAACAAACCCGAAAGUCGGGUGAUCGAGGGUUCUUAAACCUUAUAUAAUCCGAAGUCAAAACAAGAGAAUGCUGUAGUCGAGUUCCCGACUAUCAGAUACCCGUUACUCAGGUAGUGGGAGUGCGAACGAAAAAUUUUAACACCUUCUGCAGUAUCGGUAAAAAUUCGGAAAAAUUGGGCAAAAUUGGUCAGACCAGAUCGAUUCCGUUUACUAUAAUAUAUUCUAUUAAGACACAACAAAACAACCCUAUGUGGUAUGGCCUUGUUUUUUUUACCGCUGGUGUAUGCCAGUAAGCCAAUGGAGCGAAAUGAGAGAAAACCACGCAGGGAGAUUAAAGCGGCGGUUUCUGUGUCUGCGUUUCUGCUCUCUGUGGCAAGUCGUCAUCUUCUGCGGCACAGUUUCUUUCUGAUGUAACAGCGGUUGACGCGACUACUUGUUGACCAGUUGGCAAUUUCCAUUUUCAUUCAUGGCUGCGAUUUGGCUAGCUGGCCAGUUGGCUGUGGGCCACUAGGGUACCGUCGAAAUCACUUUCGCUUUCUGAGCCUCUCUAUUUUAGCGGUUGCGUCGAUGGCUUCGCCGCUAUCCGUGAUGGCCACCCUUGUUUACGGGGUUGCAGACGCCUGGCAGACGGAUUGUGGCACACAUCUUGCCAACGGGUGCAUUUGACGCUUGCGAAAGGGGAGCCCAUGCAACAAGUGCGCGGAAGUCUCCGGGCAACCGAACGGAAAACAGGAAAAACCCCGAUCGGUGCAGAGAGACAACGGUUCGGAGUCGAUAAACCGUUACCUGCAUGCCCAAGGCCUAAUUUCUGGACUGGCCAGUCGGCUGGUUGCCCCAAAACUUGGCCAACUGGAAAUACGAUUUUAUAUUCUCCGCGUUCGCUACUUUCUUUUCGAAUCGAUUUUGUCGAUAUCUGUUCUACACAGCCAGAUACCCUUGUCGGUCAUUAGUUCCUCAUCAACCCACUUUAAGGACGUGGUUAGGCGACGCUGUCAGGUUUUACUACAUUUUCGAUGGGGUGAACCACCCUUACAAGGGUUAAGUUUGGAUCUCAGUUUGACCCUUUUAUAACUUAAAAUUAUAUGUUGAAAAUACCAUUAAUGGACAUGCUGUAUAAACAGCUCCUUUCUUGUAAACUAAAGGGCACAAUAGAUUCCUCGUAAGUGUGUUGCACAGAGAUGAAAGGGAUUAGCAUCCCAGCCGAUCUGUCCAUGGCAGUUAGUCUGUCUGUGCGUAGUUCUAAUAGUUGUCACUCCUACCACGUGCUUACAAAAAUUGUCCAUGGUUAAACAAAAUUCAAUAUCGGACUAUAAGAAACCCUUUGAAACUUAAAUAAAUUAUAAAUAAAAAACAGAGCGAAUUACUUACUACAUGCUGCUUGAGCUGAAUAACUGGUGUCAAAUAGUUGCGGCACUGGACUUAUAGCGAUCUCUCUUUUUAAUUUCUAUCCUAGCUGGUUCUUUGUUUAAAAUGUUUAAUUAAAAAUGUAAAAUAAAAUCGGGUUUUUACGAGUGAUCGAACUCUCUAGAAUGCACAAAAAUGUACGUUUAAGCCUGAAUAUUUCGGCGCGAAAGCUCAUAUGCAAAACCAUAUGACCUACUAAUCGGGUCAAAGUCAGAUACUGGUAUCGAGGGUCUUGAAAAUUACUUGUAUUUGUUACAGCAAUCAAAGACAACGCAAAUUAACGCGCUUACAAAACUAAAAUAGCACCACGUAAUCCGAAAUGGAUUUCAUGGUCAAGUUGCGCAGUACCGAAGACCUACUUUGUGGGUAGAUCGGAAGAUGCAGUAUAGCUCUAUAACGCUGAUCUAAUGAUCAAACGAUAAUCCAUGCCCAGAAAUACCUUUCACAAGCCUAAAAGGUGGCACGGAUGCCAUCAAUUCAUUCUAUAUUAUAAAUUUAUAAAUAAGUGUUCACACGUUUGUAUACUUUCGUCAUAUGCAUAUGAACACGCUUGUGCUCGUAUAUUUCGGCGAUAUAGUAACGCUUCAUGAAUUACUCGUGUCAUAACUACUAAAACUGUACGUAUAUUUGUGUUAUUACCGAGAAGCGACUAGGACUGCAUAAUUAAUGUAAAAAGAAAGUACAAAUUAAUUAUUUAACGAUUGUACGCAGUUGCCUUUAUUUUAAGUGAAUUAUGAAUAUGUAAUUGCAAUUUAAAAUCACUGCGACCAAGUAGUAGAGUGUUCAAGUCCGAAUUCUAGAGGCAAAAAUUAUUGGAACAAUUUUUUGGUGAUCGAAUAAUUAAAUUAAAGGGACAAUAACUUAUUAUUAAAAUGGGUUUGAAGAAAGAACGGCAAAAGUUAAAAAAAAAAAAUGUAAAUAAUUUCAUAUAAAAAACUUUAGUUCUACAACUCUUGAAAAAUCCUCUAUUUUAGAGGAUAUACAUAUGUAUGUCGAUAGAUAAAUAUCGGCCGCAGUGUAUGUUGAAGCUAGGGACUUGUGCUAUGUUUCGGUUUCUACUUUCGAUUGAUUUUUUUUAAACACUUUUUCUUUGUUUAAAAUGUAUGGUACUUGAAAUUCUCUAACAUUGAAAAAUGACCAAAUUUCCGUGAACAAGUACAUACAAAAGUUACUCUAUUUGAUCGGAAUCGCUGAUGUUAAGUUUUAUGACGUUAAAAAGGUAUUUCGAAAUUCUAUUCACUCUUUACUAAAUUAUUUUGAUCAAAAUAGUUCAUUAACAAUACUUUUUUUUAAACAUUUUUAAGGUACUUCUUGUUCAAAAAUAUUGAAGUACCCCAAUAUCAUUUUAAAAUAUACAUAUGAAAACAAAAAGAAGCGUUAAAAAAAAGUUAUUUUAAAAGUUAAGUUAUACAUAAAGUAAAUUAUCUUUGUAACAUUUUUAAAUCGCUUAUUCGUAAUGUUGUUGUGGGCUAGGCAGUUUUGAGCGGUUCGUGGGCGUGGCAACAUGACUCAACAAACGUGCGCUACGUCUAUGUCUCUCGUAGAAGGAAGUAAACCAUUUGUAAACAAAUAAUACGAAAGUAGAUAUUACAGUUCUCCGAUUAUUUGAUACCCGUUACUCAGCUAGUGUAAAAGCAAUGAAGAAAUUUUAACACUACAAUUUUUUGGUGGUUUGUGGUCGUUAGAGUGCAAAAAGAUUUUUGGAAAAUCGAGCGAAUUUAAUGUGAAAAAAUAUCAAAACAUUUUUUAAAAGUGUGGGAUAGGCAGGUUUGAGCGGUUUGUGGGCGUGGCAAAAACUGUAUGCUUAAUCUUAACUUUUUACGAGUAACGGGUAUAAAAACAUGAAUCAUGAACACUUUUGUAAAUAGUUAUACCCGUUACUCGAGUAAAAGGGUAUACUAGAUUCGGUGAAAAAUAUGUAACAGAAGGAAGUGUUUCCGACCAUAUAAAGUAUACAAUAUAUUCUAGAUCAGGAUCAGUAGCCGAAUCGAUCUGGCCAUGUCCGGCUGUCCAUCCGCCUAUCCGUAUGAACGUCGAAAUCUCAGGAACUAUAAAAGCUAGAAAGGUGAGAUUAAGCAUGACUCCAGACACAUAGACGCAGCGCAAGUUUAUUAACUCAUGUUGCCACGCCCCCAAACCGCCCAAAACUGCCACGCCCACUCUAACGCCCACAAACGCCUACGCACUUCCACUACCUGUGUAACGGGUAUCAGAUAGUCGGGGGAAACUCGACUAUAGCGUUCUCUCUUGUUUUAUUUAAUUUCGAUUUUUUCAUUUCUCUUGCAUAUUUUUAGUCACAAUUAUGGGGACAAAGUCAGAAAUGAAGAAGCCAGAAACAGUAUAAAACAGUUAUUGGGUAAAGUACUUCUAGAUUGUGCGGGGACAGAUUAGGAUAUCUGUUUAGCCAUGCCAUUUUUAGUUUUUUAGAUAUAUGCCUGGAUUUUGUUGUUUCGUAUUUAAUAUUUUGUAGUAUUUGCAUCGGUGUUAAUAUCUUUCGUGCUUUCGUGAAAAAUAAAAAUUAAUCUAUUUAAAUUAUAUCGCGACGAUAUUUUUUACACACAAGAUAUUUCGAUUUCUGAUCUCCUCGAAAGCAAAUAAAAACGGUGGCCUUCGAUCACUGGCUUGGAUAUAUUGAGACAAAAGCGCAUGUAAAUGGCGGACCGCUUACACCUGACGGCUUCUAGUCAGGCGUUCGAUUUAUGUACAUAUGUGCACAUGUAAUUUGUUUGGCUGCUCGGGAAGGUCAGACCCACGGAAAACUGACCAAGCUGCUGAAACACACGAUAAAAGUUCUCAUCGCAGGCCCGCACUGCGUUAAUGGUAUUAAAAUGCAUUUGUAGAUACGUACAUAUGCACAUGGAUAAUUCCAAAUGCAUAGGUUACUGGUGUCAGACUUGGAUGUUUUUGCUUUUUUGCGACUUUGCUUCGGGCGUUCUAAAUCGAGGAGAAACCACUAAUACUGAGGCUUCGGCUUUCAUAACACUGUCGCGAUGAGUUUACCAAAAAGGGCAUAAAAACCACUGCAUUAGGACAAAAACAAUGAAACUAAAAUACCCAAAAGAUAGACCAGGGGGAAAAUAAAAGAAGGGACAACAUCGGGCGUUUUCUGUCGUCAGGCAAAACGAGCCUUUGAGGGGAAAAUGAAGUAAUGUGCGAAAUGUAUAGGUCUUGUCAAAGUCAGAAGAAGCAGAAAAAAAAGAUGGCUUCGAAAAGCCGAAGUUUUUGUACGCUUGCAGAUGGGAAAUUGGAGGCCACCGAAUCUAUCGGUAAUACGGGUGAUGUUAUUUGCUGGUAUAUUGUAUAAGAGUAUUUUAUUAUGGCAGCUCAAAAAAUUUUGUAGACUUGAAAACUGGAAUCGUUUGCCCAUUCUUGUCCACCAAUUUUUUUUUUUGUCCGUUACUCUCCAGUCAUUCAUUCUCAAUCAGAUUUCAAUCCUUUAAAUGACCAAAUUAAGAUCAAGAUAUAGAUUUAUAUACAUAUAUAUAGAUAUAGAUCUAUAUUAUAUCGAUCGAUCUAUCGAAUAUCGAGACGAGACGAUAGCUGUGUAUCAACAGUAGUUCUUUUCGACGAAGAAGCCACUGGAUUCGUAUUACCAUCAUGAAUUGGAUCUGUUCAUCUCACCGCAGAUAACGGAAAAUUUGUCUUUAUAGCACAGCAGCAGGUCGUGAACCUAGUUCUCUUAACUGUGAUGAUGCUGUCACUGUCCAUCUAAUGCUUGUGUCCACAAUAUGGAAACAUCAAAUGGUACGGAGAUCGUGUCCCAGCAUCAGAGACGAGAGUCUCAGGGGCCUGAGAACCCGCACAAUAUUAUUGUUCUCUUCUUUCUCUAUAAGACAAACCGGUUAAAGACUUUUCAGCAUAAUAGCAGUGCUCAAAAGUGCUUAUUAAGCAUGCGCUGCCAAAACACAUAUUAGCGAGCACCUACGAACCAGAGGACUAACACAUGCGAUUUCUAUAGCCCAGUUCUCUUGGACUUUAGACGAAUUUUUUUGUUGGCUCGAAUAAUUUGAGAGUGCUUGUGGGUGUGACCCAUACAGCCAGCAGAUUGUAUGUCUCAUCUGUGCUGAAUUAGCCACAAUCUUGUAAUUUACCGUGUAAGCGCUGGUGAAUAUUUGGAUUUGAUUUGUUUUCCGAGCAAUCUAACCAGAUAAUAUGUUUACUGAGUUCUAAGCCAGUCGCGCCACCCAAAUACCUGACAGUUACCUCUACGCAAGGUCCAAGGUGCAAAGCGAUCAAUUAGCACUUUAGCACUGCAUUUUUGCAAUCUAUUUGCAUAGGCGAAAACCCUUGACUCUUUACGAAGCUCUAGGUUUGGUUUUCUAUCCACCGGCCAGCGUUAAUUGAUGUCACACCACAUUCUCCAGGUGGUACAUUGGUACAUACACAUAUCUGAUCAAAGUAUUUAGCGCACUCGUUGGCUGACCCUAAAAAACCUGAAAAAAUGCGAAUGCAACCACAUUUCUCGACGUUUCCGCAUUCGCCGGACAGGUGAAACUUUUUGAUUGACUGACAUAGGCGACACACCAUACUGCACUCCACCAAAGGUACACAGUAGGGGAAAACAAGAUAGCGAAAUGCGUACGCAACAAUAGUAUUUAAGUCAGACCUAGCGCCAUUUCUCGAAAUAGUUAAGUAAAAAUAAACUAGUAGUCUAUAGGAGUGAGCAAUUAAAUCGAAAACGAGAAUGAUCGAUAAUAAAAUACAUCUUAUUGUUCAUAAAA